RNAcentral lists this ribosomal RNA (1103 nucleotides) under uncultured organism. RNAcentral describes it as "bacterial SSU rRNA". It matches the Rfam family "Bacterial small subunit ribosomal RNA", at positions 100 to 1237 of the family's 1533-position model. The record is from RNAcentral.
GAACGGGUGAGUAACACGUAGGUGACCUGCCUCGAAGACGGGGAUAAGUGCUGGAAACGGUAGCUAAUACCCGAUGGUCUCGAUAAUUCGGUUUGUCGAGUAAAGGCUCCGGCGCUUUGAGAGGGACCUGCGGCCCAUCAGCUAGUUGGUAGGGUAACGGCCUACCAAGGCGAAGACGGGUAGGGGGCGUGAGAGCGUGACCCCCCACACUGGCACUGGGACACGGGCCAGACUCCUACGGGAGGCAGCAGUGAGGAAUAUUGCGCAAUGAGCGAAAGCUAGACGCAGCAACGCCGCGUGGGUGAUGAAGGCCUUCGGGUCGUAAAACCCUUUUCUGGGGGAAGAGUAAGGACGGUACCCCAGGAAUAAGCCUCGGCUAACUAUGUGCCAGCAGCCGCGGUAAUACAUAGGAGGCAAGCGUUAUCCGGAUUUACUGGGCGUAAAGAGCGUUGAGGCGGCUUCGUAAGUUGGACGUGAAAGCUCCCGGCUUAACUGGGAGAGGCCGUUCAAUACUGCGGGGCUUGAGGACAGCAGAGGGGGGUGGAAUUUCCGGUGUAGUGGUGAAAUGCGUAGAUAUCGGAAGGAACACCAGUGGCGAAGGCGGCCCCCUGGGCUGCUCCUGACGCUGAAGGCGAAAGCUAGGGUAGCGAACGGGAUUAGAAACCCCGGUAGUCCUAGCCGUAAACGAUGGAUACUAGGUGUAGGAGGUUAAAACUCCUUCUGUGCCGGAGCUAACGCGUUAAGUAUCCCGCCUGGGGAGUACGGUCGCAAGGCUAAAACUCAAAGGAAUUGACGGGGGCCCGCACAAGCAGCGGAGCGUGUGGUUUAAUUCGAUGCAACGCGAAGAACCUUACCAGGGCUUGACAUGUAGGUAGUAGUGAAGCGAAAGCGGAACGAUCCUUCGGGAAGCCUACACAGGUGCUGCAUGGCUGUCGUCAGCUCGUGCCGUGAGGUGUUAGGUUAAGUCCUGUAACGAGCGCAACCCCUGCCGUUAGUUACAAGUGUCUAACGGGACUGCCCGGCAAAACUGGGAGGAAGGUGGGGAUGACGUCAAGUCAGCAUGGCCUUUAUGUCCUGGGCUACACACACGCUACAAUGGCCGG